This 400-nucleotide ribosomal RNA is filed under the name uncultured bacterium. RNAcentral describes it as "bacterial SSU rRNA". It matches the Rfam family "Bacterial small subunit ribosomal RNA", at positions 355 to 770 of the family's 1533-position model. The record is from RNAcentral.
UGGGGAAUAUUGCACAAUGGGCGAAAGCCUGAUGCAGCAACGCCGCGUGAGCGAUGAAGGCCUUUGGGUCGUAAAGCUCUGUCCUUGGGGAAGAAACAAAUGACGGUACCCAAGGAGGAAGCCCCGGCUAACUACGUGCCAGCAGCCGCGGUAAUACGUAGGGGGCAAGCGUUAUCCGGAAUUAUUGGGCGUAAAGAGUACGUAGGUGGUCUUUUAAGCGCAGGGUUUAAGGCAAUGGCUUAACCAUUGUUCGCCCUGUGAACUGGAAGACUUGAGUGUAGGAGAGGAAAGUGGAAUUCCUAGUGUAGCGGUGAAAUGCGUAGAUAUUAGGAGGAACAUCAGUGGCGAAGGCGACUUUCUGGACUAUUACUGACACUGAGGUACGAAAGCGUGGGGAGCA